CCCAACUAUCCCUAUUAAUCAUUACGUCGAUCCUAGAAACCAACAAAAUAGAAUCAAACGUCCUAUUUCGUUAUUCCAUGCUAAUGUAUUCAAGCGUGAGCCUGCUUUAAACACUCUAAUUUUUUCAAAGUAACAGUCCUGAUUCCCCAAGACACCAAAUUAAUGACAUCAUGGUUCGUCAGAAGGUAGGAAUCAAUAAUACCAGUACGUACAAUAGCACGACCAAUAAAUUGAUCCCGAAAUUCAACUACGAGCUUUUUAACUGCAACAACUUUAAUAUACGCUAUUGGAGUGCUCAAAGCAGGCGCUACAGCCUGAACAUUAGUGCAUGGAAUAAUGGAAUAGGACCUCGGUUCUAUUUCGUUGGCUUUCGGAGUCGAGGUAAUGAUUAAUAGGGAUAGUUGGGGAUUCAAGCUUC
RNAcentral lists this unclassified non-coding RNA (418 nucleotides) under uncultured Glomeraceae. RNAcentral describes it as "sequence contains 18S rRNA gene". The stretch from base 286 to 418 matches the Rfam family "Eukaryotic small subunit ribosomal RNA", at positions 765 to 898 of the family's 1831-position model. The record is from RNAcentral. Lineage: Eukaryota; Fungi; Glomeromycota; Glomeromycetes; Glomerales; Glomeraceae.